CAGAUACGCAAUGCUUUGCAAAAACAAAAGCGCAAGAAACACAGUCAGUCGUUUAUGUCUACGAACAAGACCUUUGUGUCAACGAGCUUCACUGAAGACUCGCUUGCUCUGCCAAGAGUUAAUCUGCAACAGCAUGCAGUGCGACGCAGUUUCUCAUCUGGUCAUGACGAGUGAAUAGUAUGUUUUGACCAACACACUGACAGUGACAAGUCAUACAGGACACCACCUUGUUUAGAGAAACGCACGUUGAUCAGUUCAACAAAUGCCAUAAAUAAAGUUAUUAUGUUCAUGUAUUCCAUUGAAUGUGUAGU
Long non-coding RNA from Dreissena polymorpha, 311 nucleotides. RefSeq lists it as uncharacterized. The transcript is spliced from 3 exons. Lineage: Eukaryota; Metazoa; Mollusca; Bivalvia; Myida; Dreissenidae. The record is from RefSeq and is a predicted model, not a curated record.